RNAcentral lists this ribosomal RNA (41 nucleotides) under Hymenobacter psychrophilus. Its description in RNAcentral is "16S rRNA. Bacterial SSU". The record is from RNAcentral. Lineage: Bacteria; Pseudomonadati; Bacteroidota; Cytophagia; Cytophagales; Hymenobacteraceae.
UUACAAUGGAGAGUUUGAUCCUGGCUCAGGAUGAACGCUAG